RNAcentral lists this ribosomal RNA (280 nucleotides) under uncultured bacterium. Its description in RNAcentral is "partial 16S ribosomal RNA". It matches the Rfam family "Bacterial small subunit ribosomal RNA", at positions 506 to 785 of the family's 1533-position model. The record is from RNAcentral.
UGCCAGCCGCCGCGGUAAUACGAAGGGUGCUAGCGUUGUUCGGAAUUACUGGGCGUAAAGAGCAUGUAGGCGGAUGAAUUAGUCAGAGGUGAAAGCCCCGAGCUCAACUUGGGAACUGCCUUUGAAACUGCAGGGCUUGAGGUCGUGAGAGGAGACUGGAAUUCCUAGUGUAGCGGUGAAAUGCAUAGAUAUUAGGAAGAACACCAGUGGCGAAGGCGAGUCUCUGGCACGAUUCUGACGCUGAGGCGCGAAAGCUAGGGGAGCGAACGGGAUUAGAUAC